Molecule: ribosomal RNA, 253 nt
Filed under: uncultured bacterium
Lineage: Bacteria
Description: partial 16S ribosomal RNA
Rfam family: Bacterial small subunit ribosomal RNA
Source: RNAcentral
UACAGAGGGUGCGAGCGUUGUUCGGAAUCAUUGGGCGUAAAGCGCUUGUAGGCGGCCUGUCAAGUCGCGUGUGAAAUCCCCUGGCUUAACCAGGGAAGUGCGCGCGAAACUGGCGGGCUUGAGUGCCGGAGAGGGUCGCGGAAUUCCCGGUGUAGAGGUGAAAUUCGUAGAUAUCGGGAGGAACACCAGUGGCGAAGGCGGCGACCUGGACGGACACUGACGCUGAGACGCGAAAGCGUGGGGAGCGAACAGG